This 446-nucleotide ribosomal RNA is filed under the name uncultured organism. RNAcentral describes it as "partial 16S ribosomal RNA". It matches the Rfam family "Bacterial small subunit ribosomal RNA", at positions 334 to 797 of the family's 1533-position model. The record is from RNAcentral.
CACUCCUACGGGAGGCAGCAGUGGGGAAUAUUGGACAAUGGGCGCAAGCCUGAUCCAGCCAUGCCGCGUGAGUGAUGAAGGCCCUAGGGUUGUAAAGCUCUUUCACCGGUGAAGAUAAUGACGGUAACCGGAGAAGAAGCCCCGGCUAACUUCGUGCCAGCAGCCGCGGUAAUACGAAGGGGGCUAGCGUUGUUCGGAUUUACUGGGCGUAAAGCGCACGUAGGCGGACUAUUAAGUCAGGGGUGAAAUCCCGGGGCUCAACCCCGGAACUGCCUUUGAUACUGGUAGUCUUGAGUUCGAGAGAGGUGAGUGGAAUUCCGAGUGGAGAGGUGAAAUUCGUAGAUAUUCGGAGGAACACCAGUGGCGAAGGCGGCUCACUGGCUCGAUACUGACGCUGAGGUGCGAAAGCGUGGGGAGCAAACAGGAUUAGAUACCCCUGUAGUCCC